CCUACGGGUGGCAGCAGUGGGGAAUAUUGGACAAUGGGGGCAACCCUGAUCCAGCCAUGCCGCGUGUGUGAAGAAGGCCCUCGGGUUGUAAAGCACUUUCAGUGAGGAAGAACGCCUGGUGGUUAAUACCCAUCAGGAAAGACAUCACUCACAGAAGAAGCACCGGCUAACUCCGUGCCAGCAGCCGCGGUAAUACGGAGGGUGCGAGCGUUAAUCGGAAUUACUGGGCGUAAAGCGCGCGUAGGUGGCUUGAUAAGCCGGUUGUGAAAGCCCCGGGCUCAACCUGGGUACGGCAUCCGGAACUGUCAAGCUAGAGUGCAGGAGAGGAAGGUAGAAUUCCCGGUGUAGCGGUGAAAUGCGUAGAGAUCGGGAGGAAUACCAGUGGCGAAGGCGGCCUUCUGGACUGACACUGACACUGAGGUGCGAAAGCGUGGGUAGCAAACAGGAUUAGAUACCCGGGUAGUC
This 465-nucleotide ribosomal RNA is filed under the name Vreelandella stevensii. Its description in RNAcentral is "partial 16S ribosomal RNA". It matches the Rfam family "Bacterial small subunit ribosomal RNA", at positions 338 to 795 of the family's 1533-position model. The record is from RNAcentral. Lineage: Bacteria; Pseudomonadati; Pseudomonadota; Gammaproteobacteria; Oceanospirillales; Halomonadaceae.